Molecule: ribosomal RNA, 491 nt
Filed under: uncultured Comamonadaceae bacterium
Lineage: Bacteria; Pseudomonadati; Pseudomonadota; Betaproteobacteria; Burkholderiales; Comamonadaceae
Description: bacterial SSU rRNA
Rfam family: Bacterial small subunit ribosomal RNA
Source: RNAcentral
UCAGAAACUACAAAGGAAUUGACGGGACCCGCACAAGCGGUGGAUGAUGUGGUUUUAAUUCGAUGCAACGCCGAAAAACCUUACCCACCUUUGACAUGUACGGAGCCCUCCAGAGAUGGAGGGGUGCCCGAAAGGGAGCCGUAACACAGGUGCUGCAUGGCUGUCGUCAGCUCGUGUCGUGAGAUGUUGGGUUAAGUCCCGCAACGAGCGCAACCCUUGUCAUUAGUUGCUACAUUUAGUUGGGCACUCUAAUGAGACUGCCGGUGACAAACCGGAGGAAGGUGGGGAUGACGUCAAGUCCUCAUGGCCCUUAUAGGUGGGGCUACACACGUCAUACAAUGGCCGGUACAAAGGGCUGCCAACCCGCGAGGGGGAGCUAAUCCCAUAAAAUCGGUCGUAGUCCGGAUCGUAGUCUGCAACUCGACUACGUGAAGUCGGAAUCGCUAGUAAUCGUGGAUCAGAAUGUCACGGUGAAUACGUUCCCGGGUCUU